UACGUAGGGUGCAAGCGUUAAUCGGAAUUACUGGGCGUAAAGCGUGCGCAGGCGGUGAUGUAAGCCAGGUGUGAAAUCCCCGGGCUUAACCUGGGAACUGCAUUUGUGACUGCAUCGCUGGAGUGCGGCAGAGGGGGAUGGAAUUCCGCGUGUAGCAGUGAAAUGCGUAGAUAUGCGGAGGAACACCGAUGGCGAAGGCAAUCCCCUGGGCCUGCACUGACGCUCAUGCACGAAAGCGUGGGGAGCAAACAGG
This 253-nucleotide ribosomal RNA is filed under the name uncultured bacterium. RNAcentral describes it as "partial 16S ribosomal RNA". It matches the Rfam family "Bacterial small subunit ribosomal RNA", at positions 524 to 776 of the family's 1533-position model. The record is from RNAcentral.